UACGGAGGAUGCAAACGUUGCUCGGAAUCAUUGGGCGUAAAGCGCACGUAGGCGGUCUUGUAAGUCGGACGUGAAAGCCCUCGGCUCAACCGAGGAAGUGCAUUCGAAACUGCAAGGCUUGAGUAUGGAAGAGGGUCUCGGAAUUCCCGGUGUAGAGGUGAAAUUCGUAGAUAUCGGGAGGAACACCAGUGGCGAAGGCGGAGACCUGGGCCAAUACUGACGCUGAGGUGCGAAAGCGUGGGGAGCAAACAGG
RNAcentral lists this ribosomal RNA (253 nucleotides) under uncultured bacterium. Its description in RNAcentral is "partial 16S ribosomal RNA". It matches the Rfam family "Bacterial small subunit ribosomal RNA", at positions 524 to 776 of the family's 1533-position model. The record is from RNAcentral.